RNAcentral lists this ribosomal RNA (252 nucleotides) under uncultured bacterium. RNAcentral describes it as "partial 16S ribosomal RNA". It matches the Rfam family "Bacterial small subunit ribosomal RNA", at positions 524 to 776 of the family's 1533-position model. The record is from RNAcentral.
UACAGAGGUCUCAAGCGUUGUUCGGAUUCAUUGGGUUUAAAGGUGCGCAGGCGGAUAUGUAAGUCAGUGGUGAAAUCUCCGGGCUUAACCCGGAAACUGCCGUUGAUACUAUAUAUCUUGAAUGCUGUGGAGGUAAGCAGAAUAUGUCAUGUAGCGGUGAAAUGCUUAGAGAUGACAUAGAAUACCUAUUGCGAAGGCAGCUUACUACGAAGAUAUUGACGCUCAUGCACGAAAGCGUGGGGAUCAAACAGG